Long non-coding RNA from Gallus gallus (chicken), 925 nucleotides. NCBI's taxonomy places the organism in Eukaryota, Metazoa, Chordata, Aves, Galliformes, Phasianidae. The record is from Ensembl.
GUUCGGUGUCUGCAGCGGGGCGUGAUGCUGCACCACGCGUACAGAAGCAGAAAGCUACACCAGAGCUACAACUUGGCUCUUCUGGCAAUGCAUAGCCAGACCUCUUCAGGAUCAGAGCUGGACAAGGAAGCGAUCAAAAGCAGCAAACAAACCUAAAUGUAGGACCAUAGUCAAAGAGCUGCACUUAGGCUGAGAUGAAAACUGUUUCAGUAGCUGAGCUGAAGAAAUGACGCUCACUUUCACCUUUGCCGCAUCACUGCACUGUUCACUACCGGGAAAUGGAGGUGGCAUUCAGACCAGCCGCUCUGCUGGAAGAUGUUGCUGUGGGGUAAGUUUCUGCAUUCUGUCCACAGGUGUUCUGCAGAGUGUAGAAAAGAGUUUCAGAGCGUCCUAGAGCGAAUGAAUACUCUAUAGUUGCUGGAAGAUGCACCUCAUCCCAAUAGAGAGUAAAAAAGAAAAUACUAAACAUUUUCAGGAUAAAAGAGAAGGCACUGCCAUGAAAGUACAGACCUGAGAAGCCACUGUCUCAAACAAAAGUAGUUAAAAUAGUGUUGUUGUUGUGAGAAUACUAUAAUUUUAAAACACUUAAUAGAACAAAAAUAACUGCAUUUUAUCUGCAUUCUUGUAUGAGCUGGAACUGUGCUUGUUACACACUGCUAUCCCACAUCGCCAUGUGACACACAAGUGGCAGAUCACUGCUCAUAAGGACUGUCUGCUGGCAAAGAGGAGCCAUAAAACUUUUCUAAAGAAGACAUCAGCACAUUCCUCUACAGACAGGGAAUUAUGCCAAUUCCAGACACACUCCUGCAUUCCAAAGGAGGAAUAUAUUGAACUAUAAUAAAUGGCUGCAGGGUUAUUUCAAACCAGCAUAAUGAAUGAGCUCAGAGACUGAGAAAUCCCCUCCCGGCCCUAGGAAGCAGAGGAG